RNAcentral lists this small RNA (76 nucleotides) under Xanthomonas sp. 4461. RNAcentral describes it as "sRNA sX9". It matches the Rfam family "Xanthomonas sRNA sX9". The record is from RNAcentral. Lineage: Bacteria; Pseudomonadati; Pseudomonadota; Gammaproteobacteria; Lysobacterales; Lysobacteraceae.
AUGUACCCCUCGUACACUCCGGUUGCUGCGCGCCGCCGGCACCCACCUGACGACCGCGCGCUACGGUUUGGCAGCC